GACGAACGCUGGCGGCGUGCUUAACACAUGCAAGUCGAACGGAAAGGCCCUGCUUUUGUGGGGUGCACGAGUGGCGAACGGGUGAGUAACACGUGAGUAACCUGCCCUUGACUUUGGGAUAACUUCAGGAAACUGGGGCUAAUACCGGAUAGGAGCUCCUGCUGCAUGGUGGGGGUUGGAAAGUUUCGGCGGUUGGGGAUCGACUCGCGGCUUAUCGGCUUGUUGGUGGGGUAGUGGCUUACCAAGGCUUUGACGGGUAGCCGGCCUGAGAGGGGUAACGGCCACAUUGGUACUGAGAUACGGCCCAGAAUCCUACGUGAGGCAGUAGUGGGGAAUAUUGCAGAAUGGGGGGAAGCCUGAUGCGGCAACGCCGCGUGCGUGAAGACGGCCUUCGGGUUGUAAACCGCUUUCGCAGGAGACGUAGCGUGAGUGACGGUAAUGGGUAAAGAAGCACCGGCUAACUACGUG
Molecule: ribosomal RNA, 468 nt
Filed under: uncultured bacterium
Lineage: Bacteria
Description: partial 16S ribosomal RNA
Rfam family: Bacterial small subunit ribosomal RNA
Source: RNAcentral